AGAUAGGAAAUUCAAUUUUUUUUUAUGAUUAUGCUUGGGUUUAUCGUUCAUUUACUAUUUCCUUCCAUCGUUUAGUUUAUCUAUGAAUUUUUAGUUACAUUAAAACGUUAACUCACAUUCUAGCUAAUCAUU
Molecule: long non-coding RNA, 132 nt
Organism: Limulus polyphemus (Atlantic horseshoe crab)
Lineage: Eukaryota; Metazoa; Arthropoda; Merostomata; Xiphosura; Limulidae
Exons: 3
Source: RefSeq, a predicted model, not a curated record